Molecule: ribosomal RNA, 491 nt
Filed under: uncultured bacterium
Lineage: Bacteria
Description: partial 16S ribosomal RNA
Rfam family: Bacterial small subunit ribosomal RNA
Source: RNAcentral
AGUGAACGCUGGCGGUAGGCCUAACACAUGCAAGUCGAACGGCAGCACAGUAAGAGCUUGCUCUUACGGGUGGCGAGUGGCGGACGGGUGAGGAAUACAUCGGAAUCUACUUUUUCGUGGGGGAUAACGUAGGGAAACUUACGCUAAUACCGCAUACGACCUACGGGUGAAAGCAGGGGAUCUUCGGACCUUGCGCGAUUGAAUGAGCCGAUGUCGGAUUAGCUAGUUGGCGGGGUAAAGGCCCACCAAGGCGACGAUCCGUAGCUGGUCUGAGAGGAUGAUCAGCCACACUGGAACUGAGACACGGUCCAGACUCCGACGGGAGGCAGCAGCGGGGAAUAUUGGACAAUGGGCGCAGCCUGAUCCAGCCAUACCGCGUGGGUGAAGAAGGCCUUCGGGUUGUAAAGCCCUUUUGUUGGGAAAGAAAAGCAGCAGGUUAAUACCCCGCUGUUCUGACGGUACCCAAAGAAUAAGCACCGGCUAACUUCGUG